Molecule: ribosomal RNA, 253 nt
Filed under: uncultured bacterium
Lineage: Bacteria
Also listed under: 1 other name
Description: partial 16S ribosomal RNA
Rfam family: Bacterial small subunit ribosomal RNA
Source: RNAcentral
UACGGAGGGUGCAAGCGUUGUCCGGAUUUAUUGGGUUUAAAGGGUGCGUAGGCGGCGAUCUAAGUCAGUGGUGAAAUCCAGCAGCUUAACUGUUGAACUGCCAUUGAUACUGGAUUGCUUGAGUACAGACGAGGUAGGCGGAAUUUAUGGUGUAGCGGUGAAAUGCAUAGAUACCAUAAAGAACACCGAUUGCGAAGGCAGCUUACUAGGCUGUAACUGACGCUGAGGCACGAAAGCGUGGGGAUCAAACAGG